RNAcentral lists this unclassified non-coding RNA (386 nucleotides) under Bombus terrestris (buff-tailed bumblebee). RNAcentral describes it as "misc RNA ENSBTSG00005027424.1". Lineage: Eukaryota; Metazoa; Arthropoda; Insecta; Hymenoptera; Apidae. The record is from RNAcentral.
CAAUUAUUUUAUGUUGUUUCUUCUCGAUUUUAUUAUCAAUUACAAUAUUAUGUUAAAUAUAAAGGCACAAACAAUGAAAAGUAGUUAUCUAAUUUCUAGAUUCCUACGAGUCUAUUACUUGUUUCAGUACAAUCUUUGAUACAUAGUUGUCACUUAACGUUAAUAUAAAUCCUUAGCGAUAGGAAUACUCAUUAUACCGUUAAACCUAAAUCUUUGAUGUUGAACUUAAAUACGUUUGUUAUUUCUAGAUAUUCACAACCCUAUGUAAGAAUACGUUCAACGUUAAGAUUAUUCUUAUACUUUCACAUCUAUAACAUUUCUACUUCAACAUCGAACGAUCACCAAUAGGUUCUACAAAUUUCUCCGUAUAUAAAUUCAACAUUAUA